RNAcentral lists this ribosomal RNA (252 nucleotides) under uncultured bacterium. Its description in RNAcentral is "partial 16S ribosomal RNA". It matches the Rfam family "Bacterial small subunit ribosomal RNA", at positions 524 to 776 of the family's 1533-position model. The record is from RNAcentral.
UACGUAGGGGGCAAGCGUUAUCCGGAUUUACUGGGUUUAAAGGGUGCGUAGGCGGGAUGCCAAGUCAGCGGUAAAAAUGCGGUGCUCAACGCCGUCGAGCCGUUGAAACUGGCGUUCUUGAGUGGGCGAGAAGUAUGCGGAAUGCGUGGUGUAGCGGUGAAAUGCAUAGAUAUCACGCAGAACUCCGAUUGCGAAGGCAGCAUACCGGCGCCCUACUGACGCUGAGGCACGAAAGCGUGGGUAUCGAACAGG